GGGGCUGAUUCUGGAUUCGACGGGAUUUGCGAAACCCAAGGUGCAUGCCGAGGGGCGGUUGGUCUCGUAAAAAGCCGCAAAAAAAUAGUCGCAAACGACGAAACCUACGCUUUAGCAGCUUAAUAACCUGCUUAGAGCCCUCUCUCCCUAGCCUCCGCUCUUAGGACGGGGAUCAAGAGAGGUCAAACCCAAAAGAGAUCGCGUGGAUGCCCUGCCUGGGGUUGAAGCGUUAAAACGAAUCAGGCUAGUCUGGUAGUGGCGUGUCCGUCCGCAGGUGCCAGGCGAAUGUAAAGACUGACUAAGCAUGUAGUACCGAGGAUGUAGGAAUUUCGGACGCGGGUUCAACUCCCGCCAGCUCCACCA
This 363-nucleotide transfer-messenger RNA is filed under the name Salmonella enterica. It matches the Rfam family "transfer-messenger RNA". From Rfam's summary of the family: Bacterial tmRNA, also known as 10Sa RNA or SsrA, is named for its dual tRNA and mRNA-like properties. The record is from RNAcentral. RNAcentral also lists the same sequence under 1 other name. Lineage: Bacteria; Pseudomonadati; Pseudomonadota; Gammaproteobacteria; Enterobacterales; Enterobacteriaceae.